CGGAAGGAUCAUUGUCGAAACCUGCAAAGCAGAAAGACCAGCGGACCCAUUACAACACCCAGGGGUGACCCCAACCCCUGACGCUGAGUGUGUGCAGCCCUGCCUUGCGCCCUCAGCAUAAAACGAACCCAGGCGCGGAACGCGUCAAGGAAUCAUAACGAAACGAGCUCCUGCCGUGGCCCCGGGGACGGUGAUCGCCGCAGCAGCUGUGUUGUGCUUGGUUAAGUCUAAAAUGACUCUCGGCAACGGAUAUCUCGGCUCUCGCAUCGAUGAAGAACGUAGCGAAAUGCGAUACUUGGUGUGAAUUGCAGAAUCCCGUGAACCAUCGAGUCUUUGAACGCAAGUUGCGCCUGAAGCCAUCAGGCUGAGGGCACGUCUGCCUGGGCGUCAAACACCGAUGCCCCCCCAAAUCCCCUCGUCACUCUCCCCUGAGUGCCCGGGGAGUGUGGGGGUCGGAUGAUGGCCUCCCGUGUCUUGGCUCGCGGUUGGCCCAAAGUCGAGUCCUCGGUCACGGUUACCGUGGUGACAGGUGGUUGUCGGUCGCUCGGUACCCCGUCACGUGCGCCGGACACGAAUCGAGACUCUCUUGAUUACCCCAACGCAUCCCCGUUUGGGUGCCUCUGAUGUGACCCCAGGUCAGGCGGGCUACC
This 650-nucleotide ribosomal RNA is filed under the name Morus rubra (red mulberry). Its description in RNAcentral is "eukaryotic LSU rRNA". The stretch from base 235 to 390 matches the Rfam family "5.8S ribosomal RNA". The record is from RNAcentral. Lineage: Eukaryota; Viridiplantae; Streptophyta; Magnoliopsida; Rosales; Moraceae.